This 82-nucleotide transfer RNA is filed under the name Streptomyces tuirus. RNAcentral describes it as "tRNA-Arg". Lineage: Bacteria; Bacillati; Actinomycetota; Actinomycetes; Kitasatosporales; Streptomycetaceae. The record is from RNAcentral.
CCCGGCCUGGCCCGGGUUCUCCGGCUGCGGCUGCUCCGGCCCGCCGGGGCCCGCGUCCUGCGUCGGAGUCGCGGCGCCGGGC